Molecule: ribosomal RNA, 2103 nt
Filed under: Triticum aestivum (bread wheat)
Lineage: Eukaryota; Viridiplantae; Streptophyta; Magnoliopsida; Poales; Poaceae
Description: partial small subunit ribosomal RNA
Source: RNAcentral
AUGAUCUCUGGAAUUAUUCCUGCUGACAUCAGUAAUCUGGUUGGUCUCAAUGUUCUUGAUAUAGCAGCUACCUCUAUAUCUGGAGUGAUUCCAGAUAGCAUCGGUAAGCUAGAGAACUUGGUCAACUUAAACUUGAUCAACCAUACCUUGUCUGGUCUCAUACCUCCAUCGCUAGGAAACCUUUCACAAUUGAUUAGCCUUCGUGCACGUGAUUGCAAUUUGGAGGGGCCAAUUCCAGCAAGCCUGGGAGAGUUGAAAAAUAUCUUUAUGCUUGAUUUGUCAAGGAAUUUCCAUCUUAAUGGUUCAAUACCAAGAGAGAUUUUGAAAUUAACCAGCCUCUCUUUGUAUGUGGACUUGUCAUACAAUUCCCUUUCUGGACCCAUUCCCAAUGAAGUUGGUAGCUUGUCAAACCUUAACCGACUUAUUCUAUCAGGAAACCGAUUGUCUGGCGAGAUACCUGAUAGUAUUCAGAAUUGCAUAGUGUUGGUACUGCUAUCAUUAGAAAAUAAUUCAUUCGAGGGAGUCAUAUCUCGAUCACUGGCAAAUAUAAAGGGGCUCAUUAAACUAGACCUCAGCAUGAAUAAGUUCUUUGGUAAUAUUCCUGAUGCCCUUGGUAAUAUUGGAAACCUGCAAGGACUAUACCUAGCACAUAACAACUUGUCAGGGUCAAUCCCGUUAGUCCUACAAAAUUUGUCAUCAUUGUCUGAACUGGAUAUAUCCUUCAAUAAUUUGCAAGGCGAGGUGCCACAUGAAGGUGUUUUUAGAAACAUCACUUACUUAGCGGUUGCCGGGAAUAUCAAUUUGUGUGGUGGUACACCUCAACUGGAUUUGGCUCCAUGCUCCAUAAGCAAGAAGACUAGAAAGAUGCCAAAGUCCCUUGUCAUUUCUUUAGCGACAGUUGGAGCAAUCUUGUUGUCACUUUCACUUGUUUUUCUUAUUUGGAUGCUUUGCAAGAAUCUCAAACCAAGCCAGAAUACAGUAGCACAAAAUUCAAUUGUUGGUGACCGUUACAAUAGAAUCCCCUAUCAUGCAUUAUGGAAAGGAACUAACGGAUUUUCAGAAGCCAACUUGCUUGGGAGAGGAAGUUAUGGUGCAGUUUAUAAGUGUGUUUUGAACACUGAAGAAAGAACAUUGGCUGUCAAGGUUUUUAAUCUUGGUCAAUCUAGGUAUUCAAAGAGUUUUGAGGCUGAGUGUGAGAUCAUGAGAAGGAUGCGACAUCGUUGUCUCAUUAAGAUCAUUACUUCUUGUUCGAGCGUCAACCACAAAGGUCAGGAGUUCAAGGCAUUGGUUUUUGAGUUCAUGUGCAAUGGUAACUUGGAUGGUUGGCUUCAUCCAGAAUCUCAACAACCUACUACAAACAACACACUCAGCCUUGCUCAGAGGCUUGAUAUUGCUGUCGGUAUUGUGGAUGCAAUAGAAUAUCUACACAACUACUGUCAACCAUUGGUAAUCCAUUGCGAUCUCAAGCCAAGAAACAUUCUUCUUUCUGAAGACAUGAGUGCACGAGUUGGAGACUUUGGCAUAUCAAGGAUUCUGCAAGAAAAUACAAGCAAGGGGAUGCAAACUUCAUAUAGCUCAACUGGAAUUAGAGGUUCCAUAGGCUAUGUUGCUCCAGGUGAUUGAAACUCUUCUAAUUUCAUAUUUUACUUUUCACUCGAAUAUGGCAUGCUAAGCACAAAACAUUGCAUAAUUGUAGAGUACGGUGAAUGCUCUGCUGUCUCAACAGCUGGUGAUCUUUAUAGUCUUGGCAUAUUAUUACUUGAGAUGUUUACCGGAAGGAGCCCAACAGAAGGCAUGUUCAAAGAUUCUUUGGAUCUGCAUAAGUUUGUUGAGGAUGGAAUCCCAAACAGAACCUUGGAGAUAGCCGACCCAACAUUGUGGCUGCACAUCGGACGACACAAUAACACUGCCAAUAUUAGAAUCCAGGAGGUAUUGGUUUCGGUCUUAAGGCUUGGCAUAUCAUGCUCAAAGAAACAACCUCGAGACCGAGCACUGACAAAAGAUGCAGCAGCCGAGAUGCAUGCAAUCAGAGAUGCAUACCUCAAGUUUACAGGGGAACAUGGACCAGAAAGAGAAGCCUCAACUCUAGAAAAUUCAGAAUAG